RNAcentral lists this long non-coding RNA (39362 nucleotides) under Brassica rapa (field mustard). Its description in RNAcentral is "long non-coding RNA (BRAP_LNC005705)". The record is from RNAcentral. Lineage: Eukaryota; Viridiplantae; Streptophyta; Magnoliopsida; Brassicales; Brassicaceae.
UAUAAUAUUUAGAGUUAUAUGUAUGUAUAAUUUAUAGAUUUAAUGUAUAUUUAUAAUAAAAUAAGAAAAUUACCUUGUGGUUUAUGUUAAUAUAUUUGUAUAUCGAAAAAGGGAGCGUGCGAACACGUGACUUGCUCAUAUGUUAUUAAUAUGUUAUUACUUAUUUGCCCUUAUUUGUGGUACUAUUCCACGUGACUUGCGUAAUUACUUGCGCCAAAAUGUAAAAAAAUCAAGGGAAUGAUCGGUGAUAGUCAUGAGUGCUCUAUACAAUUCCAAUAUUCUCUGCAGUGAAAACUAAAACAAUCAAGCUCUAGUAAGAAAAUCUAAAGUUAUAGCCCAAAAACUUGAAAAUGAAAUAUAUUGAUUUAGAAAUUAAUGUUUUUACAGUUUUAUGUUUAGUGCUUUUAAACUUUAAAUUAGUUCUACAGUAAUAAAAUCUAAAAAUAAAACCACAGAAUCUAAAGCAAAAAAAUCAAAGCUAUAACCUCUUCUAAUCAAUCUCUGAAAAAAAAAUUUAAUUGCUUACUGCUAGCGAAAAGAGAGAGUGAGAUAAGAGUACGAGAGCAAAAUUACUGAUUCUCGCUUGGGGUUGGUAAUACGGCAUGCAAUCAAGCUCUAGCUAUCAUUAGUAUACAUUCUUCCCUUUAACAAUCCUGAACUUUUCCAAAUCCAACCAACACACACAUAGAACAUAACAUAUUAAAAAAAAAAAUCUAAAAUAGCAAUCAGUCUCUGGGUUAUGAUUACUCUAAUUCAGAUUAGAAAAAAUUCACUAUCUUCAAAUGAUUCUCGUGAAUGAUUUGUUUUGAAGUUUUUAUGAAUUUUUGUAUUUUCUGUAUUUUUAUAUUUAUUUUAUUAAUAAAAUAAUUUAAAAUAUUCGUUGUGAAUUUUUUUAUUUUUUGUGAAUUUUAUUGACUUUUUAUGAUUUGUUUUGAAUUUUUUAAUGAUUUUUUAUAUUUUGUGUAUUUUUAUAUUUAUUUUAUCAAUAAAAUAAUUUAAUUUUUUUGGGUGAAUAUUUUAUGAAUUUCUAGUAUUUUUAUGAUUUGUUUUGAAUUUUUUUAUGGAUUUUUAUAUUUUACUUAUUUUAUACUUAUUUUACUAAUAAAAUAAUAUAAAUAUUGUUAUGAUUAUUUAUUUUUGUAAAAUUUUAUGAUUAUUUUUAUAUUUAUUUUAUCAAUAAAAUAAUUUAAAAUACAUUUUGUGAAUUUUUGAAUUUUGUGAAUUUUAUAGACUUUUUAUGAUUGGUUUUGUUUUUUUAUGAAUUUUAUAUUUUUGUAUUUUUAUAUUUAUUUUAUUAAUAGAAAUAAUUUUUAAAAAUGUGGUGAAUAUUUUGAUUUUUGUGAAUUUUUUGUAAUUAUUUUUGAAUUUUCUAGUGAAUUUUUAUAUUAUUAUUUAUUUUAAUAUUUAUUUUAUUGAUAAAAUAUUUUUUUUAAAAAAUUAAAAAAAAAGAAAACUGACACGUCAUCGAUUUUGAACAGUACCGGUUAUCGUUUUGACUUGAUAUACAAGUAAGCCAGAGUGGAGGUUUCUUUUGAUAAAAAUGUCGCUUUAAAGGAUUAAAGUGCUUGUGAAAUACUCCGAGGGUUUAAAGUGUAAGUGGCUGCCACUUUGAAGGUUUUUUAUGCGAUUUUUUCGUUAUUCAAUGUCCACUAGGAGUUCUCCUGCACGAUGCGCAGAUAUAAAAUAUUUAAAAAUUUUAUAUAUAAAUAAAAUUUUCUGUUUUUCUAUUUUACUUUUAUUAGUUUAAAAAAUAAAACCAUAAUGUAAUUGUUUUUAGUUUGAUUUAUUCAAGUUUAGUUUGACCUUUUAAUUUUGCAUUAUUUUACUUUUGAUAAAAAUAAUUGAAAUUUAUAAAUUUACUUUAUUAUAUUAUUCUUUAUUUAAUUACCAUUUUUAAAUAUUUCUAUUUGUAAAUAUAUAUAUUAUUUCUAAUAAUAUAUAAAUUAAAUAAAAAUAACUUAUAUACAUUGAUAAAAUAUAGUUUAAACUACACUUAUUUUAAUAAUAAAAAUAUGAUUCAUAUAUUGAUGUAAAAUUUUAAUAUUUGUUAUUAUUAUUUAUAUAUAAAAACAUAUUAUUUUAAUAGAUAUAGAAAAGUUAUUAGGUAUCAUAAAAUCUUACCAAAAUGAAUAUUUUCUGAGAAAAAAUAUUUUUGAUAUAAAAUUUAUUAGUUAUUACUAUAUUAUGAAGCUUUUCCAAAAAUAUAAAUCCGUAUAUAGAAAAUCAUCAUUAUUAUAUUUAAGAAAUCUUACCAAAAACAUAAAUCUAAAUAUAGUAAUUUUACAUGUAACAAUUAAAUUUAUGCCAUGUCAUAUUUUUUUUAAGCCAUGUUAUUAUUUUUUUGUGAAAGUUAAUGUAUUGAUCACACUUAUACAAAUCAAUUCUCAAAUAUAGUCUAAGUGAUUGGAUUUUAAUAGAAUUUGAGCGGAAUUUGGUGUACUUUUGUAUAAAAAAAUAAGCAUAAACAGAAUCCAGCACUUCUAGCUUGGAUUUUGAAUUUAUCAAAUAUUUUUUUUUCUUUACGAUUCUCUUUGGUUAAGUUUUAAUCCCAGCCCAGAUAAAGUUAGACGUAGACAAAUUCGGUGAAGUUGAUUCUCCGUUAAUCCUCAAAACCAAUUCUCACCUCUUCUAACCCUAAACUCAAGUUUAAUCGGACGUACCAUAGCUUCUGACUUUGAAGCCAUAGUUCCAUUCUCAACCUCGUCGGAGUUUUCUCUAAUAUGCUGUCUUGUUACAAAUCUUGUCUCGUUAUAAUCCGAACAAAAAGGUAAGAACUUUGAUUUAAUGAUAUUAGAAAGUGUAGGUUUUGAUAAUCAACCAACUUGUUUUUAUUAACAUCAUACGAUCCCAUAUUUAUACAAAGACUAAGGCGGUGAAACAUAUUUCCUUGCCUUGUCGUAUAAGGAAACAAUCCUUAUCACAUAUAGGAAAAUAUACAACCAAAUAUAUGACAAUAUCUCCAAUACUCCCCCUCAAGUUGGAGCAGGAGAAUCUUGAAUGCCCAACUUGGAUACUAACUUUUGAAAUGGAACCCGUCCAAGUGCUUUAGUUAAUAUAUCUGCUAUCUGCGAAUCCGUGCGUAUAUGCUGAGUGACGAUGAUCCUCUCUUGAACUGCAUCUCUCACAGAAUGACAAUCAUUCUCAAUAUGUUUUGUUCUUUCGUGAAAGACCGGGUUGGCAGCUAUGUGAAUCGCAGCCUUACUGUCACAAAAAAACGAGUAGGAGUAAACUGCUCAAGAACCAGUUCUUUUAAAAGCUUUCGAAUCCAUUUCGUCUCUCGUAAUACUGUUGCCAUAGACCUAUACUCUGCUUCGGCAGAAGAAUGUGACACAGCUCGCUGCUUCUUAGUCUUCCACGCAAUAGGUGAUCCACCAAGCAUAACCACGAAAGCGCUGAGUGAUCUUCGGGUAAGAGGACAAGAUGACCAAUCUGCAUCGCAGUAUACUGAGAGCGUGAGAUCAGGGUCGGAUUGUAGCAGAAUUCCCAGACCCAACGUCCCUUUCAGAAACCGCACAACACGAAGUGCAGCAAGCCAAUGAGCCUCUUUCGGAUGCUUCAUAAAUUGCGAAAGAAUAUGGACUGAAUAACACAACUCAGGCCUAGUAUUCAGAAGAUAUAUCAGCCUACCAACAAGCCGCCUGUACUUAGUCGGAUCAGCAAGUGUUGGUCCCUCUGCUUUAGCAAGUUGAUGAUUCUGCUCAAGAGGUGUGUGAGCUGGUGUACAACCUAAAUUUCCAGUCUCUGUGACUAUAUCCAAAGCAUACUUGCGUUGACAAAGAAAAAUACCUUCUGGACCUCUCAACACUUCAAUACCAAGAAAAUAUUUUAAUUUUCCCAAAUCUGUCAUCGCAAAGCAUUUACCCAAGUAGUCUUUGAAACGCUUCACCAUAUGUAAAUUAUUACCACAAAUGAGAAGAUCAUCAACAUAAAUCAGUACUCGUAUCUCAAUAUCCUUGCACGAGUAAGAGAACAGCGAAUAAUCUUCAUAUGACUGAACAAAACCGAAUUUAAGAAGUGCAUCUGAAAGUUUCUUAAACCAACACCGCGGAGCUUGUUUAAGUCCGUACAAAGACUUUCUCAGGCGACACACUUUACCAGGAUGUGUAUGACGGAAACCUGGUGGGAGCUUCAUGUAAACUUCUUCCUCAAGGUCGCCAUGUAGAAAAGCGUUUUGCACAUCCAUUUGAUAGACUUCCCAUUUCUUUGCCGCAGCUAGACGCAGAAGAGUGCGUAUUGUGGUCAUCUUAACGACUGGAGCAAACGACUCAUUAUAGUCUGCUCCUGCGACCUGCUUAUUACCUUUCACCACCAAUCGAGAUUUGUGUCUUUUGAUGGUCCCAUCAGAAUUGUAUUUUAUCUUAUAGACCCACAGACUAUCAAGAGCUGCCUUUCCCGGAGGCAGAUCAGUAAUGUCCCAAGUGUGACUAUCCUCAAGCGCCACAACCUCCACUGUCAUAGAAUUAUCCAUAUUUUACUACGCACAGCUUCUUGAAAGUGUUUAGGCUCCUGUGCACUUGUGAUCGCAGUCAUAUAAGCCCGAUGACCUGGUGAGAAUUGUUCAUCAGUUAUACAGUCUGACAGAGGAUAAAGAGGAAUACCUGGAUCGUUAGACGAGGACAACAUGUUGGAGUUGGGAAGAGCGUGAUGUGUAUUAGGCGUGCUCGCGGCAGUCGGCACUGUAGAGAAGAAAAUCUUUCAACAAGACCGAUUGUGUCUUCUCUCUGUGUCCUCUACCAAGAUUUUCGGAGGUCUCACUGGCCAGAGGCGAGCCCAAGUUCUCAACGAGCUCUGCUUCUGGUAAAGGCAACUCAGUUUCAGUUUCAGUUGCUUCAACACUAGCAACAUUUUGUUCAUCUGUAUCAACUGCAGGAGACACUUGACUGCUCCCCCUGUUAUCAAGACCCACGACCCAGUCCUCAUCAAGAAUCACAUCCGACGAUGGCACUGCAGGCUGGUCAAGUUUUGACUCUGCAAACGGGAACACAUCUUCCCGGAACACGACGUCUCGAGAAACCAGAAACUCGUUACGUUCAACAUCAUACACUUUCCAUCCUUUCUUGCCGAAAGGAUAGCCAACAAAUAUACAUGACCGACUUCUUUGACCAAACUUAUCUUUGUCUCGAUUCAUCUUGUGCGUGUAACAGGCUGAUCCAAAGACUUUCAACAGUUUAUAAUCUGGUUGCACUCCAUAAAGGACUUCAUAAGGAGUUCUUCCUUUAAGUACAGAGGUCGGAGUUCGAUUUAUCAAAUAUGCAGCGGUAAGAACAGCUUCGCCCCAAAACUUAAUCGGCAAGUUAGCUUGAAACAUGAGUGCUCGAGAGACAUUCAAAAUAUGUCGAUGUUUUCUUUCAACCCUUCCAUUUUGCUGUGGUGUUGCAACACAAGACGUCUGAUGAACGAUGCCAUUUUCUUUAAAGUAAGAUGACAAGACCAUGAACUCGGUACCGUUGUCACUGCGAACCGUUUUAACCGACUUCCCAAACUGCUUUUCAGUAUAAGCAAGGAACUGUUUUAAGACAACCUUGACUUCUGAUUUUUCAAGCAACAGAUAAGUCCACACUGCUCGAGAAAAAUCAUCGACGAUGGUAAGAAAAUACACUGCACCACAAGAAGAAGGCACUCGAUAUGGACCCCAAACAUCGACAUGAAUAAGAGAAAAACAUUCUGACGUUUUAUUUGAACUAUCAUUAAAAACUUCUCGAGUUUGCUUAGCUCUAAAACAAAUGUCACAUGGACUAGAGCCAGCUAAGUUAGAAGAACCAGAAAACAAAGCCAAAUCCUUAAAUACUGAGAAAGACGGAUGCCCCAAACGCCGAUGCCACAAAGCCUGAUCGGAAAUACCACUGACUCGGUGACUCUUUGCUGAGACUCUGUCUGUGAAGUAAUACACACCAUCACGCUCUUCACCGGUUCCAAUCAGCGUCCUCGAAAAACGGUCCUGCAAGACGCAAACUGUAUCAGUAAACAUUGCAAAACAACUCGCUUGUUUCAACAACUUUGCUACAGAAAUCAGAGUGCAAUUUAAGUCUGGAACAUAUAAAACUCUCGACAACGUUAUUUUAGACGAGAGCGCAAGAGAUCCCCAGCUCAUCGCAUAUGUCUUUCCUCCAUCAGCAAAAGCGACAGAGCAUGGAGAAAUCGGCUCAACGUUCGUCAAAAGCGACAAUAAACCUGUCAUGUGGUGCGAAGCACCUGUGUCGAGAAUAACAUCACCCAGUUUACUCUUACCAGACAGUCUAUCUGCAGCAUUGGCUCCAGACUUCUCUUGAAUCAUUUGUGUACGGAUCUUCCACUGAUCAGAUGUGAAAUCAGGAAAUUCCGACGAGUUUGAACUCGUAGCAUGAGCCGCACAAGCUCGUCCACGACCACGACCACCACUACGGCCUCCUCUUCCACGACCACCACUACCUUGUCCACGCCCUGCACCACGUUCUGGAAACCACUCCGGAAAGCCCACUAUCUGAUAACAAUCCCGUUUCUCAUGACCAGUUCUUCCACAAUGCGAGCACAACAAUCUGGGUUUAAGAAUUGUGUUCUCUGUUCUGCUCUGCGUCUCGGUUGAACUCAACUGCUGACCUUUACGAGACACUUCAUCAGACUGUGUUUGUCGUGCGACAAACCCGACUGCUUCUUGCUGAUCACGUCCACGAGCUGACGCAAGGCGUUGUUCCUCUCUUAUUAUUUUACUGUAAAUCUUGCCAAGAGAGGGAAGAGGAUCUUGACCAAUAAUUGAGGUACAGAUUCCUCCAAACCGUGAGUCAUCAAGACCCAUAACAAACUGGUGAAUCUUCUCUUGCUCUCUUUCACCAGCGAUGGCAGCAGCAGCUCCACAGGUACAUGUGUGAACAGGCUGAUACAUCUGCAACUCUUCCCACAAUGUAGAGAGCCUUCCAAAAUAGUCCAACACGGACUGGCCAUCCUGCUUACACGAAACGAGCUGCACCUUUAUCUGAUGCACUCUCACUGUGUUUUCCACCGAGAAACGUUGCUUCAGAUUCUCCCAAAGCUGAUGUGCAUCUGUGAUGUACGUAACUGUGGACUUCACCUUUGGCUCGAUGGAAGCUCGGAUCCACCCAACAAGCAUAGAAUUGACUGUCAACCAAUUCUCAAGAUCUGGACUGGUUUCAGCCGGCUUCACCAAGGUUCCUUUGAUAAAACCUAACUUUCGUUUUGCUUGAAAAGCAUUCAACAUCUCCGAAGACCAUUCAUUGUAGUUUUCUCCAUUCAAACGAACCGACGAGAUCACGGCUCCAGGGUUGUCAGCAGCGUAUAGCGUAUACGGCGAGACCGACACAACUUCAUCUUUCUUUGGGUUGGCUUGAGCCAACUCACGAUCAUCCGACAUAGCGAAGCUUGCUCAGAAUCUUUGCAAAGAUCCGAUUUGUAACUUCUUCAAUCGUAUCAAUGCUCUGAUACCAUGUAGGUUUUGAUAAUCAACCAACUUAUUUUUAUUAACAUCAUACGAUUCCAUAUUUAUACAAAGACUAAGGCGGUGAAACAUAUUUCCUUGCCUUGUCGUAUAAGGAAACAAUCCUUAUCACAUAUAGGAAAAUAUACAACCAAAUAUAUGACAAUAUCUCCACUAGAAAGUAUUCUACAUUGGCCUUUAGAUUAUUAUAUGCGAUCAUUAGAGAGAAUUAGAAGUAGUGGCCUCGAUGCAAGCUGUAACGACCCGGUUCAUCAAAAUCGGUUUGGUUUGGUUUAAUUACAAUUUUAAUUAUAACUUAAACCAUCCUCUUUACUUCUUGGUCAAAUCGUGCAAUAUAUAUAUCAUUGUACGCAUCUCCCUUCCUCUCAUUUGACCUAGCCGUAAUCACCAUCGCAGCCAUUCUUCAUCGUUAUCUUCUUCUUCAUAUUAACCAUCUCACGUCAUGUUCACGUUCUUCUCUCAUCAUGUUGACCCAAGGCAGAGCCGGAGAUUCCUUACCGCGCCGGAGCCGUCACGUUCAUCACAACUAGCCACAGAUUUGCACCGCCAUGAUCCGCUUGCUGCCGUAGUUGUCAUAAACCACCGUCAGGAUCCAAGCUAGAGAGAUCGUGAUCUCACACCUGCUUGCUCCACUGUCGCUACUCACCCCCGAUCACCAACCGUUACCAUCAGAUACAUGGCUAAGGAGUGGUUUUGCGAGAGGUUUCUAGUACGGUGCAGGGGAUUCUAGGGUGUGCGCCAUGGCUCUUGGGAUAGAUCUCGUUUCCAGGAAUCUGUAGAAGCAAACAGAAUCUAGAUCAGAGUUGUGAAGCAAAAGUUAUUGCUGUUGCUUCUUGGGCAAGAAUAAGCUUAAGCUGUUGCGCUGCAGAGACAGUUCCGACCAGUCUCAGCGUAAAGGUGAAAUGGUCAGCCUAAUCAAAAUAUUUCAGUCUGGAAUUUUGUCAGUAAGUAUUUAACUCUUUUAUCUAUCAUCUCCAAGAAGCGGAUUGUCAUUCCAAGUUAUUUUCUGAGAGUUAAGCUUGUUUUCGUGAGAGGUGUUGGUGCAGUCUACGUUUGCGACCAGUCUGGAGACGAAGCUAAUUUGAUUAAUCAGAUGGAGUCCGAUCGGAGUAAAACCGGUGGCUACGGAUAUAGGACAUCUAGGGCUACAUUCGGACCGGAGAGAUUGAAAAGUUAACGGUCAGUUCUUGAGUUAUGCAUCUGUUUUCUCUUGGGUUCAGUUCUGGCAGAAUCAUCAUACUCAUUUAUUUUCAGACUUUCGGAGUUGCUGUGAUAGAGCCAUCAAGGGCUAUUCUGUGCUUCUCAGGUUCUUUAGAACCGUGGCAAAGGUGAGGGUCUACUCCGUAAAUCCCAUACCAGUAUAGAAUUCUCUCUAUCGUAGUUUAGAUUUCGAAUCAUGAUCCGUCUGUUUGAAUUGAGUCUGUUUGAAGUACAAUCAAACUCUAAUUCCAUUACCUAAUUAUAAUUCUCAAUUCAAUAACACCUCCUAUAAGUGUUUUUAGAAGGGUUUAUCAAUAAGAAAUUAAAAAAGACUUUAAAAUCAAUAAAUCUGACUGGAUAAAAAUAACUUACGAAGGCUUAGGAUUUUCUUAAAGCCUUCAAACUUCAAGGCUUUUGAAACCAUAUUACCAAUUACAAAAAAUAUCUUUUAUGUUUCAAUUUCCGCCAUUACGAUCUUCUUCUUCUUCCACCUUCACCAGUCUCGCUUAGACACCCUCUUCUAUUGAUUGCUCUUUGGCAAUGAAUGAUUCCUGCUACUCUGUUUAGAUCCAGUGAUUAAUAUCUACCCACCAUCUCUUGAACAUUGUGGUUUAUCUCGGUUGUCCAUGUAUCUUGGAAGGUAAAGGGCAAUGCAAUACGUUUCAUAACAGAACAUAGAGACUCAAGGGAAAACUUUCGCACAGUCUUUUGAUGAUCUCCUAAUUGGUCUUCAUUGAACUUAAUACUCCUUCUCGCUACCGGCACAACACUACAACAGCUCUGUGGGAUGAGAGAAUCUCUUGUCAUACGUCUAAGCAUAAGAGGCUACAUGAAGCAUCAGAUUUUCCCUCGAUCUAUCCAAAGAAAGCCAUUUCAUUGCUCUUUACUUAAUCUCCAGCUUAUGAUUCUCAACUAAAAUUAUUAAAUCAACUCAAUGACGAAGUGCAUUAUGAAAGGAUGCAAUUAUAAAUCAUUAUUUAGAUAAUGGAUAUGUUUAUAAACCGAUGGUUUAUAUGGUUUAAGUGUUCUAUACGGUUAAGGGUUACUUAAUUUAUAACAUAAAAAGUAGAUGUUAAUUUAAAAUGCUUCCGCUGCAUUUUAAUAAUAGGUAAUACAUGUUAUGAAAUAUUAACACAAUCUUUUAAAAAAAAUUAUGUUAUGAAAAAUUAACAUAAUAUUAAAAGAAAUAUACCUAUUAGUGUUUUAAUGUUUGUAUAGUUUAUAACAUGUUAGUCACCAAAGUGGCCUUGUUAUUUACUUAUAAAUAUUAAAAGAUAAUAGUAGGAUAAUUGAUCAUGAUCUAAGAGAUGCUAAAAACGACAUUAAAGCUUUAGUGAUCAAUUAUUUUAUUUUCUAUGUUCAAGGAGAUCAUCCAAAGGUGGAUCAUUGAAUAUAGUUAAUAAUAAGAAAAGGAUUAAUCACUUUUUACUAUAGUUGAUAGGAUACUAUUUGACUUGAGUUUCAAGUGAUUAAUCAUUAAAGUAUAUUUUAGCAUCACUGAUAAUGUUUGUGUUUAAGUAUUGCCCAAAGAUUGCUUAAAUACACUUGAAAGUUCAAGUUUACAUUUUUCCACUCAUAUCCCAGUUGAAUUUGAAAGGUGAUACAAAAUAAUUUAUACCGUGAGGCCACUUUUGCUUAAAAGUAUACCAAAGUGGUCUCAUAUCGUCUGCGGUAUACAUUUUUCCACUCAUAUCCAGUUUUCCAUCGCAUUUUGUUCACUGAUGACAUCCUCCUAAUGUGUCAAGCCUCAAUGGAGGAAAGUUCUGAGCUAAAAACCAUCUUAGGAAACUACGAGGCAGCCUCUAGACAAACCAUUAACUUCUCAAAAUCUUCAAUUAACGUUGGCUCAUUGGUUAACGAAAAUAAGAAAGAAGAGAACAAAGGCAUUUUGCGUGUCGAGACUGAAGGUGACGAAAGUAUGUAUAUCUCAAUAUUCCAAAGAUCUUUAGUGGUUUCAAAAUCAAACUCCUUAACUUUAUAAAAGAAAGAAGAGAACAAAGACAUUUGCAAAACUCUGCCACUUCUUAUGAAGGGGUCUCUGGAGCAUUGGCUGUUAAAGAAAGGCUAAAAUUUCAUUGCAUCAAUCUGGACACAACCUGUGAUGUUUGUGGGCAUCACUCCGAAACUAAUAUGUCAUGUCUUUUUUUGUCUCUUAGCACAAAACAUAUGGGACUCCUUAGGCUCCAUUACCACCAGUGGGGUUCUCGCAAAACUCGGUCUUCCUAAUUAACUUUCAUCAUCUACUGAAGACUAGCAAGAGAAAAAACACCGACUACAGGUUACGAAGAACCUUCCCAUGGGUCCUUUGGCAUCUCUGGAAAGCCAAAACCACUCUUCUCUUUGAAAAAGCUCAAACCUCACCUUUAGAUAUUUUGAGCAAAGCCAGGAAGGAUGCAAACUUGUGGAUUCAGGUUAACUACCAAGAAACACCCUCUAUUAACCAUGCUGCCGUUACACCCUCUACUAACCCUGCUGUCGUGAGACCCUCUACUCAUACCUCUGUUUGGCAUAAACCAAGACAAGGAGACCUGAAAUGUAAUGUUGCUUCCUUCUGGAUACUAUACAAUCACCAUGGAGAAACAUUACUCAAUAGUAGAAGAACUUGCACCAAACUAGGCUAUGAAGUGCAUGUUGCACUCCUCAACCUCCACUGGGCCAUUAAAAGCAUGAUGCACCUCCAUUUUCACCGAAUUAUCAUAGAGUUUUCCUUGACUGCUCUGAGAGACGUUCUAUCCUCACCUGAAUUUUACCCUCAGUACCACAAGUCCACAACCUCUUUGAUGAUCUUCAGUACAUGCUUAAGUGUAUUGAUUAUUAGUGCUUUUGCCACGUGUCUCCUUCAGAAAACCAAGUUUCUGAAAGUAUUGCAUGGUCGGUGAUACUGAUAAGAGAUAAUAUAUCUAUUGUACGUGGCAAAAUGGUCCGUUGUGGCUCACCACAAUCCUUAAGGACAAUGCCAUGGAUAUGCUCUAAGACGGCCAUGGACUUGUGUUUCUAUCCCUCAUUGGGGUCUCUUACCAUUUAUUUUCUAUUUUCACUAAUGCUUUCUAGUUUUCAGAGUGGUUUUAUUUUUCUUUUAUAGAGCUCUGUUUUACUUCCUCCUUUAUAACUUCAACAUCAAUAUAUUGAAUAUCAAACCGGUGUUUAAAAAAAAUAACUAAGUUACAGAUGUAAACUUUACCAUUUGACUCAGGGUAUGACUGGUUUCUCCGCUACCACCCGCAAAAAAAACUUUUGCGGUUGAUAGUAGUUGUUGGCGUUUUGCAACAAUCACUCAGACCGCUCUAAACCGCUUCAAACCGCUUUUUUACCUCAUAAAUUCAAAAGUUGGUUCGAGCUAACGUUUGGGCGGUUGCGGGAGGAUAAUUUUAAAAAAAAAAAAUAUAUAAAUACAAAAAUAAAAACAUUCAAUAAAAAAUUUAAAUUAGAAUUAUAAAAUACUAAAAUAUAUCUAUUAUAUUUUAAUUAAUAUUAAAAAAUUUAACAAUAAUUUUUUUUCUAUAAUUAUUAUAAAUGUAAAUGUAAUAUUUUUAAUUUAUUAUUUAACCACUUCUGCAUUUGGUAGUUAACCAGUCAUAAGUACCGCACAAACACACCAAUUUCUAACCGCAUAAACAGUCGUACUAAUCUUUUAAAACUGUUAGAAACCACAACCACGCGCAAUCGCAACCGCUACGUUUGAACCAGUCAGACCAUCUGUAAUGUUUAUGAUAAACAAAAAUGAAAAAUAAAAAAAUCCAUAAUCAUUAACUUAAAUAUUCUAUAUAAGUUAAAGAUUCAAAAAAAAAUUCAUUUUUGAAAUUCAAAUGUAAUUUUUUUAGAAUUUUUUUUAAAUUAAGAAAUUUGAAUAAAAUAUGGAAGAUAACUUGUUCAUUUCUAUAUUUAAUAUAUAUAUGAAAAUUAUUAUACAGCCCAAAUUGGCAAAUUAGGUUAGUUUAGACAUUUUAUAAGUAAGUGUAGUUUCCUAAAUAUAUCUAUAUUAUAAUAGGAGAGUUUUGAGUCUCUCCUAAAGGUGUCCACGUGGACAUAUGUUUAAGUUUGUGGGGUACAUGUUUGGUUUGUUCAUUCAUUUUUUUUUCCGACUUGGGAUCUCCGCCUCGGUUCAAUCAUUUUGGUAUAUUCGGUAUCAUCGUAUUUCGUCUCUUCCAUCCGCGCCGUUUCCUCUAAUCUCUAAACUCUUAGCCUUGUCCUUUGCUUCUUUUUUUUUUCGCGACCGUCCUGCUGGUUAUCUCAACAUGCCGUUGAAGUGGCUAGAUAUCUACAGUGUACUGAUGGUUAGAGUUUUGCUGAAUUGGUUCCCCAACAUUCCGCCAGCCUUUGUCUGCCAUUAGAGAUCUCUGUGAUCCUUAUCUCAAUAUCGUCAGCCCUUUACUUGCUUUUUAUGCUUUGGGUUCCAUUCUCAACAAUAGCAGAUGAUUAAUUGUUCAAGUUAUCACUACGCUUAUGGAUCUUUGGUCUUUUAUGAACAACUCUUAAAUUAAUUGACCCGCAAGUCCACCAAUGACUCGAAUUUUCCAUUGCUUUCCACCAUUACAUCCUUAUUGUAAUAAGUUUUUAUAAUACUCACAUAACGCAUCAAUGUUUAGUGGUCUCCUAACCCCAGCUGAGAGAACCCAAUCUGUCAUGGUGGACACUACUGUUAACCCAAAAAUAUUUGGAGGUAAGUUUAUAUUUAAACUUAAAAACCAUGUUGACAAACGUUUUAGUUAAUGCAAAAUAUUUGGAGCAACCUAUGCAGCUGGACUGGCCGUUUGAUUCUGGAAGGAAGAAGACAUAUUUGAGUCAGGAGGAGAGAGGUCAAAGAACUCCAAAGUAUUCAGACCGGUUAUGGAAGAAAGUGGAGUCGUGGUGCAAAGCGGGGGAGAGAACAUUCGAUCGAAUCUUUGAGGUAAUAUAGAUCUCAACAUUAAACAACUGACCUUCCGUAUGUUAAUUCCUUCUUUUAAUAUUUGGAAUUAGUACUGUGACUAUAGGAUUUUCAAAACGUUUUUGAUUGAAAUUUCUCUGUUUUGUUAUACACUGGAGAUUGUUGACCAAAACGAACCCAAGAUUUAUCUGCUCUGACAUAGGUUGUUUAAGGUAAGAAAACUUCAUAUCUCUUUGAUUGUUUUUUCAGUUUGUGGAUUUUGUUCCCCUUUUAUGCUGGUUUAAAUCUCCAUAUUUACGCAUCUCAAGUUUCAGUCCUCUUACAGAGACAAUCUAAUCAUGAUAGAAAGUCUCUUAACAUUUAUUAGCAGCACACAUAUAUAUCUAAGCUGUGAUAUUCAGGCCACAAUUGAAUGUUUGAGAAAUUUAAAUGGGGAAUAGGUUGUGAAUAGGUUUAUUUUGGUUGAUUAGUUGGUAACAAUAUUUCAAAAAUUUAGUAUAAGUGAGAUCAUCUGCAAUGUUUUAUCAAUCAGUGCUGAUCUGUUUGUGUGAUAGUAGACGCGUGGCUAAAGAGGAGCGGAAAAAAAUGGGGACUAAGGCCGAUGAAAGGUUUCUAUUUCUCAAACAUCAAUAUUGUACAAGUUUUCUUUAUAUCCUUGGUCUCAGCAAGAUUUUGCUUCCCUUUAUUGGGCUGUGUUUUAAAAGCUGUCAUAAGUUGCACUAACUGAUAGUAAAUCAUUGGUGAGAUGGAAAAAAAUAUUACAGGAAAUGCUUUGGGGUUAACAAGAGCUGGCAUGGUGGCCUAUUUUGAGGUGCUGGUAGUGGUUGUGGCGGGGGUGGGGUGAUAGACGUCGUGGGAGCGUCAGCAAUGUAUGUGGCUUUAUGCAUGUGGUCGCUUUGUCAAGACUGAUGACUUCAGACUGAUUAUUUUGCAAGAAGGUUUAUAUCAAAGGUAUUUUUCGAUGUUGAAUCUUGCCUGAUAGAAUUAGCUAUUUAGCCUUUAUCUUAACAUGUUUACCUUUUUCUUGCACUUGAUGGUUAUAUAAGUUGCUAUAAAAAACCUCCCAUGCCGUUCUUCACUUUAUUCGGGAUAGAGGAUGCAGAAAAUUAUGUUGUAAGUUUCUGAUGCUGGUUCCAGUCUCCUUCAUUGACUCUUUGUGAUCUAUUGAUUAUAAAGCUGUAGACAUUGCUAAUUAAUCUAUUGUUUUCUGAACAGGUUGUUGCUUUCAACGAACUCAAAGUAUUCGCUCGAGUUAGAUCCAUCACCAACCAAUAUAAACGUACAAUUUUUCUUUAUAUUUUUUCCUUUCAGUUGUUCAACAUAGUACCUGAAUUAUGUGAUAUGUAUUGGAUUUGCAGAUCAGGUUUUUCGUUCAGGACUAAAUAUAUGCUAACAAUUCACGUCCUCCAGAUCCAGGUUCCGUGGAUAGUGCCAUUUUGUGGUCUUCGACAGAGAGACGAUGAAACUCAUCAAAAAGAGGCUACAAGUCUGGGUCUUAAAGAGGUACGUUUUUCUUUCAUAGUUCAGAUGAUUGUAUAUAAUUGUUUAUUCUGAAGUCCCACAAACCCCAACCUAAUUCAGAUGACCAGCAGUGAGGAAAUGGAGCUACCAAAAUGUCUUGAGGAGUUAGCUGGCAAUGAAUAUGUUUUUCAUCUACGUUGACUCCUUACAAUUUCACUCCAAAUCACCGUACGUUCACUGUAUCAUCAAUCAGUGAAGACGUUUUUACAUUUCAAUCCCACUUAGCUUUCAUUUCAUUUCAAUUGUCUAUUCCACAUGUUUCCUCUAUUUCAAACUUUGGUUGUCUCUAUGAUUUGCUGUAAACUAUUUUUUACUGGUGUAAAAAUUACUAUGACUUUAUAUAAUAAAGGAAGCGUGAACGUGUCUUUAGUUAAUUACCAAUGUCCCCAACUUUAUAGAUCAGUAAAGUUUAACGUCAAUAAUGCAUAAACGUGAGUUAUGUAAACAAGAUUUUUUUACUCUCUCUGACUUAAGAAAUGAAGAUUACAGCCUAAAAAAGAAAGACAUUUAAAAUACAGACAUGUAAACCUUUUCUAUUUUAAAAUUUUAUAGUAGAUGUAAUUUCACUUGCAAACUCUGCAAUAUUUAAAAUAGCAUUCCCUCGCACCCAAAAAACCACCAAAACAAUAAACUAACUGUAACAUAUAUAAAACCACAAACAUUUUUUUUCAAAUAAAUUCAGAGAAACAGCAAACAUAUAAUCAUACCUUCGAGAUAAGUCAUUUGAACACUAAAAGUAAAAAAUUCAUAAACUCACCACAACGUAACCAGUUCUAGCCACACAAAGCGAUCAAAGGUUUACCAAAAAAACCCCACAAAACACAUGAUAUACAAUUCUACUCACAUCCACUGCACAGUUUCAAUAACAUUUUUUUUUGGUAAAAAUGUAAAGAUAUUAUUACCAAGUUUUUAAAUUUUUGACAGAAAUACAAAGAAACUAGUAGCAGAAAAAUGAAAAUAAAAUCCUAAACAGAAACUCUAUCUAGUCUAAACCGGGGCAGACACGACAAACCAAAGCCAUCGCCUCGAAGCUUGACUAAGUCAGCACCAUCCACUUGCCACAAAAGGAAGAGUCACAGUUAACCCGAGAGCCGGAACCCGGUAAUUUUGGCCCUCCCCGAUGAUCCGCUCUUUAAGAUAUUGACUCACCCAAGACCAGCUCGUGGAGAACUUUCUUAGCUUCCGCCCACAAGAACAAGCAGCAGCGGCAAGGGCCAAGCACUCCAGCCGCAACCAAACAGAGCAUUUAUUAGACACAGAACAGACUAGAAACCAAUCUGCUCGAGCCAAAACGGUCGUAACCUCCGUACUCCUUGCCUUGAAGCCCCGAACCUGCACAGAAUUUGUCACGCACACCACCACUAAGCUCAAGAAAACCUAAGUGAUGCUGGGAUGUGAACGAGGACCAAGCGUCGACGUGAAUCGCUACAACGCCUGAAGUCGUCGAGAACCGACGAACUAAAACCCGUGCUGCUAGAAUCCGUCUCCUGCGACAGCAAAGACAGUAUGAAGAACCAGGGCCUAAUCCUCACCGAAGACCGUCGCCUUCAGAGGACAAACAAACCAGGGAUCGAGUAGAGAAGAUCUGAAGUGAAGCGGCUUUGCAAGAGGCCACUCAGGAGGCACAGACAACCGCCCUUUGAACCUAGCACAAGACCUACACGAGCCGGAACAGAGCUCGAGGACCAACCCACCUGCGAACUCGAGCUACAAGACUCGCCACCGUGAUAAUGAGAUCCACCGGCGCACACUUAGACUAAGGAAAGGAGAGACCAGCGCUCGACGACACCGACGAGAACCAAGAAACACCAACCCGAGCCGAAUGACAUCCUAGACCAGAGGCGGAGAACCACCGACGAGCAGGAAGAAUCAAACCGUCUCUUCUCCUCUCGAACAGAGAGAAACCGGACUAGAUCUGAGGAGAAAAAGAUCUAUGUCCUGAACCCAAGAGCCGACUGCAACAACCAACCACCGUUCAGCCUCCUCACCAAGGAUCCAGAGAAAGCAGAUAAGCCGUCGGAGUUGCAUCUCCUCUGCAGCGGAGCGCCCUCCGAGACCAAACCCUAACCCAGAACUUUGUGCAUAUCGAAGGGGAACGAGAGAGACGGAGCGGCAGCAAAACGAGAAUGAUAAAACGAGAAACAGAGGACCUCCGGCGCCGGCACGCGCGCGGACGCGCCACCACACGCCGGGGGAAAAUCAAAGCACCGUAAGAGAGAGAGACUGUUGUUCGUGAGAGAAAUUGAGGGAGGAGAGAGACUGACCAGUUUCAAUAACUUCACAGACUACAACGACUCUUUGGCAACUUACGGUAAAGAAAAAAAAGUCAGUCAUAAUACUGCUAAUGUAUAUAUCAUAUAUAUUUACGUCUAUUUAAUAGUUCAAAAACUAAAACGAGGAUAAAUGAAAACCAUCAACAGCAGGGGCGAAGCUAGGUUGAUGACUAAGGGUGCACGUGCACCCAGUCUAUUUAAAAUAUUUAACUUUUCACCUUGUACAAAUACAAGGCAAGUGGCUAAUUUGGCAAUGAUGCACCCAUAGUUUCCAAUGAACCAGAGUUCAAUACCCCCUACACUACAUUUAUUUGUUAUUUUGCACCCAGUCGUAAUAAAUCCUAGCUUCGCCCCUGAUCAACAGUUCUAUUUAUACGUAAUCACAAAUAUUUUAACGCCAAGCAUUCAAAAUAGUGCAUAUAAUUUCCUUUAAAACCCAUAAAGAUUAAGUUACAAAAACAGUAAGACAAUUAUUUGGUAGUCACACAAACUAUUUUAAAAUUAUUUCUACAGGUCUUUGUUUUCCUAAAAUCUGGUUUCUACGACAAUUUACAAAUUACUAAAAAACACACAUAUAACUACCAAGAUAAGAAUAGUAUACAAUAUUUCAAAAUAUACCAAACUUCGACUAUUCACCUGCUAAAGGAUCAGUCAUAAACAAAAGAUAACAUACAAAUUUACAACUACUCUUUACCGCACCAAAAACGUAUGAAAUAACAAAUAUUCACAUGCAAAACACCACUUCAAAGGACACCAUCUUCGCAUCCAUGAUAAAUCACACUUCCAUCAACGAUCUCCGCGCAAGCGCGGAGGAUACGCACCUGCGAGGGAUACGCACCUAGUGAUUAAAAUGGUACGGUUUUAAAAUUGUACUAGAUUAUGACCCGCCCUUAAAAGGGUGGGUAUAUUUUUUGUUUUGCAAUUUUUUAGAAAUUUAAUUUUUAUAUUUGUAGUUUUAGUCAUAUUUAUGUUUUUUUUGUAAAAUGUUUCUCUUAAAUGAUUAAUAUGAAAUUUUAAUAAUUGUAUUAAUAUAGUUGGACUGCUCCUAUAUCAAUAGGUUACUAGGUGAUUUCCCGUGCUUAUGCACGGAUAUAAAUAUUUCUAAAGUAAAUAUACUAUAAUAAAUGAUUGUUAUUUAUUUUUUUAUUUUAUAAUUUAUAUGCAUCAUUUAUAUUAAUAAUAUUAUAUUACUUUAAUUAUACUUAUGAUUCUAUAUAUGUUAUAUGUAAUCAAUUUUUGUUGUUUUUUAUAGUCGAUUUAGGGAACGACUCGUUUUCCCGCUACCACCCGCAAACGCAUCUUUUGCGGUUGGUAGCGGUUGUCGGCGGUUUGUAACAAUCACUCAAAUCGUUCUAAACCGCUUCAAACCGCUCAGAAUCUCAUAAAUUCAAAAGCUGGCUCCAGCUAGCGUUUGCGGUUGCGGACGGUUGCGGGAGGGUAAAAUUUUUUUUCUUUUUUUUAAAACAAUAUAUAUACAAAAGUAAAAUUAUUUAAUAAAAUUUUAAAAUUGAAAUUAUGAAAAUAUUAAAAUAUAUCUAUUAUAUUUUAAUUAAUAUUAUAAAAUUUUAUAAUAAAAACAAUUUCAAUAAAUUUUGAAAAAUUGAAAUUAUAACUUUCUAAAUAUAAAUUUUAUAUUUAUUAUAGUUUUAUGAUUUUUGAUAUUUUUAUAAUUAUAUUAAAUGUAAAUAUUGUUAAUUUAUUAUUUGAUUGUUACCGCAUUUGGUAGUUAACCAAUCAUAAGUCACCCGCAAACGCACCAAUUUUUAACCGCAGUACCAGUCGUACAAAUCUCUUAAAACCUCUAGAAACCGCAACCGUCCGCAUCCACAAACUUCCGCAACCGCAACCGCAACUGCUGCGUUUGAACCAGUCAGGCCCUUAGUUGUCAUUUGGGUAAAUUGGAUUGCAUCUCUGAAUUCAACUGUAAUAUCUUUUAUUCUAAAUAUAUUAAAUUUUGAUUAAUUUCUUAUUUUCAUUUAGGUGAUUUUUGUCUUAGAUAUGUAAAUAUAUUUUAUGAAGAUUAUGUAUAACUUAAGAUAUAUUGUGAUUGUAAUAAAUUAAAAAAUUAAUUAAAGUGUGUGAUUCCAAAGUACAUAAAUUAAUGUAUCGAUAAUAUUCUGAAGUCUCAUGCAUAUAUAUAAAAUUUUCAAAAGAACUAAAUUGUAACCGUUGGUUAUUAUUUUAUUUUUAUUUUUAAUAUGUUUAGAGUUGUCUUUUGAUUUAUAUUUAUAUAAGAAAUUACUAUUCUUAUAAAAUUAUAUAUUCGAUCGUAGUUAAAUUUUUGAUUUUAGAUAUAAUUUGGAUUAGUCGAGUCACUCAUGUUCUGAGUAUAUUUACUUACAUAUAUUCUUUCAAAUUCAAAAUGAAGUAUAAUUAUUUUUUAAUAUAAUUAAGUCAAAUCAAAUCAAUUUUAUUUAUCAUUUUAAUGUUCAUGUAUUUUCAUAAUAUUUUUCAAAUUAUAUGUAGAUGUUUUUAAAAAAAAAGAUAUUAGAAAAUAAAGCGAUGAUCAAUAGGAAGUUACAUGCCUAAGUAGCUGAUACAUUUUUGGAAGCUAAUGAACACUUAUCAAUAUCUACAAUAAUUAAAUAUUUUAUAAAUUCUAAAUAACUUUAUGCCUUUGAUUUAUUGAAUGAAAACUGAAAUUUAAUUUAAAUAAUCUUGAAAAUGAGAAUUCAGAUUUGCUUUGGUAUUUUGAUUAUGAUUAUAUUAAUUCCACAAUCAUAAAAGAUAAAAUUUAAAAGCAAAUCUAAUAUUAAGAAAGCAAAUAAAUUAAAUAAUAAUAAAAUAUAAUAUAUCUACCUCAUUAUACUAUUUUAUAACUAUUUGAUCAAACAUUGUUUAUUUUUAAAAUUUAUUUUUAGCUUUUUAAUAUCUCUUAAAAAUAAGCAGUCAAAAAAUUGUGAUUGUAUUUGAAAAUAGUACUAUAUAAAUAAAAUAAAAUUUAUCAAUAUUUUUUUGCUGUAAUUGAAAGAUAUUGUAGUCAAUUAAAUAUAUAAAAACUAAAUCAAACAUUUUAAUAAUAUUAAUUAUAAACUAUUUUUAGUCAAUUAUAAAUAAAUCAAUUUAUGUAAUCAUCUAAGAAAAUAGAUAGAUAUAUAAAAGUAUUUCUAUUACUUUGAAUUUUUUUUAUUGUUUAUAAUUAUGCUUUAAAAGAAAUAAUAUUUCUUUUUCUAAUAUCAAGAUUAUUUGUGUAAAUGGUUACUAUUUAAUGAAAUCACAUUAUAUACUAAUUUAUAUUUUUCAUCUAAGAAAAUAUAGAUGUAAAGAAAGUAUUUUAAUACUUCAAAAGUAUAUUUUAUUUUAUUUAAAAUAAUUUUUAAUUUUAAUAUUACUAUUUUGUGAACUUUCUUUUUUAUGAAAUCAUAUUAUAUAUAAAUAUAUUUUUCAAUUUUUUUUUAAUUUAUAAAACAAUUCGUUUUUUAUUAUAUGUUGAUUUUUUUUUUGAAAAUUUUAAAAAGGAAACUAAAUAAAAAUAAAUAACUGUAUUUGAAAUAUAAUAUUUUAAUUCAUUAAGGAUAUCAAUGUAAUCAACUAUCGUGGGAGUUAACGUAAGAGCGACACAUAGGAAAUUGACUUCUCAAAUAAUAUUAUAGAGAUGUUCCUGUUUUAAUAGAAUAGAUGUCAAGUAACUCUUUAUCAAAACAUAUAUACACUUCGUUGUUUGAUACAUGAAGACGUAAUAGGCUAAUAGCUAAUGAAUUUUAUAUAGAAACAAUAUCGACUUGACUAUCUUAAAUAAUAAAUGUAAUCCCACCCGCUCUAAUAUUGAACAGUUAUAUUAUUGGUGAACUGCAUAUUGAUAACAAACGGUUACAUUAGGGUAGUAGUCGAUAAAUCUAUACUAUAUUAAAAAGGUUAUAUGAGCAUCAGAGAGGAUGUCCACGUCAGCUUCAAAAAUCGACCAAUAGGAGUGCUGCUUUACGCCACAUCACAGACGAAACUGGACUUUUAUUUUUAAUCCGUAAAACACAUAUCAUGAUGGGCUUUAUUCGUUUGUUGUAUGUUUAGGCUGUGCGUUUGUUCAUGUAUCAGGGCCGGAAAGAUAGUGUUCACCCUCUAAACCUAAUUCCGCUCAAACAGAAGAUCACGGGUCGUCUCUUUCUCUUGCUGCGACUGUAGACGUCUGAGCUUCCUUUCUCCAUCUGAAACGGCCCGAUUUGUGAUUCAGUGAUUAAUCAUAUUAAUUGCAUCACCCACUAUAAGGUCUUCAAUGCGUUGUUCAUCUCCAAGUCGGUGUGAAAUCUGUAUAAAUAUGUGAGUAUUUCUCAUUUCUGACUCAUUCUCUCUUCUUAUCUCUUGCAACAUACCGAUUCGAGUUGUUAUGGCUAAUUUGAGAGUUUUCUUCUCCGAUCCGAAGUCCGACAGGUGCUCCUCCGUCGUCGAGGCUAGGCUGCUGCGGUUCUGGGAGAGGAGAGAGAUGAAAAGGCCGGUGAUUGAUUCCCUUAUGGUCAUAAAAGAUGCGCUAGGGUCAUUCUGAAAUCUGGUAAGAUUCACUGUCUUUCUUAUGAUUAUGAGCUAGAGUAGUUUAAAAGAUCGGGUAUUAAGGUUCGAAAUAAGUGUUUGAAUGUAGAGCUCAUAUCUUGAGUAUUGAUUUGUGAUCAUGUGAUCUCUAUUCUACAGUGACCACAUAAACAUGAUUCGUUUCUUUGUCGCACCAACUCAUGUGCUUUGUUCCUUACAUUGAUGGGCUUAGUCCUUGACUUUAAUUAUCUCACCUUGAAUCUUUUCCUCUGCUAUGCCUAAUGGUUUUUUUGGGUUGUUUCACCUUGAGUCUUUUCCUCUUGCAUUGCUUUCCAUGAUGAAGAGUGGGGAGUUCCUGUCCAUGACAACAAGUACGUGAUGAUAUCUCUUUUACUGUUUAUUUUUGCUCAGUCUGGGAGAUGCUAUUUGUGUAUUAUAAAUGCUCUUAUUUGUCAAACUGCUUGCAUGAAAAUUUCCAAGUUAUUAAGCCUCUCUGGUGUUCUUUCCGAACUAUCCUGGAAAUAUAUUCUUUUCAAAAGACAAUCAUUCAGGUAAUUAUGACCAAUGCGUUUUUUGUAACAUGAUCUUCUUAUGAGCCAAGUUUUAAAGUGCAUUAUCUUUGUUUUAACAGGGAAAUUUUCAUGGAAUUUGAUUCCUUUCCUACAUCUUCACAAAAAAAAGAGAACAUCCCCUGAGUUGCAACCACUCCAUUACUAUCCAUGAUCCAAGGCUUAAUGGUUUGCUUUCUUUUUUUUUUCCCAUUACAGUAAUUAUCUGGUUACUAUACGAACUUUGUCACUACAUUCUAAAAGCUUUGGUAAACAGCAUAGUUUUUAAAUAUAUAUAAGUGAUUAUGCCUUAAGUAACUGUGCAACCUUUCUUAAGAUCUCAGUGGAUUGACUGUACAUGUAUUGCUUUUUUUGUUCGUGUAGGAAAAAUAACACUCCGCCAGACUUGAAAACGGUUUCAGUCAACCAGGUUAAAGUACUUGACUGCUUGUGAUAGACUUAUCAAGUUAAGAAUUAAUCUGGUACAGCCAUUUGAACGUAUUUAACACAAGUAUCGUGUGCAUGUAAUCUUUGUGCAAUCAAUUUGCUUCGUUGGCUGUUAGUAGAACUCAGACAUGCUUCACUCACAGCUACUUGGGAUGUUUAUUGAUCAGAAUUCUCUCUUUACAGGUUAAACACAGGUAUAGAGUUGCACAUUCCCAUCUUUGGCUUCCCAUAUGAGAAGAAAUUUGGGAACAUCGUCUGGAAAUCAUAGAAUUCUUUCUUUACCUUCACCUAAAACAAACAGAGAUGAUAGGAGUGUUCAGAAAAAUAUCCAGAUUAAUACAGAGUUAGCCAGAAGACUAUGAACGCACAUGAGGCAGAAGCAGCUGCAAAACAGGCAGUUUCACAGGUAGAAGCUGCCAUGACAGCGGCUGAAGAAGCUGCAAAGGAAGCAGAUGCAGCAGAAGCUGCUCAAGCUUAUGCCUAAGAAGCUUCAAAGACAUUGAAAGGAAAAAAACAUCUGCAAAGUGGUAAACACACUUUUCUUAUAUCACACAACACAUGAUAAAGAGAAUACUUUAUCAUGGUCGUAUUGAAAAUUUGAUUAAACAGAUGGUUUGUAAGUGAGGUGACAUAGAAGAAGAAGCUAAAUGUGUUGCAGGUGACGAGAGAGUGAUGCACAAAAGUAGUGUGUAUGUGUUGAUGAAUUUCGACUUAGAACAUUUUUUGUUGUAAAGAAGAAGCUAAAUGUGUUGCAGGUGACGAGAGAGUGAUGCACAAAAGUAGUGUGUAUGUGUUGAUGACUUUCGACUUAGAACUUUUUUUUGUUGUAAAGCAGUAAUUUUAGAUUCACAGCCAUUUUAUUAUUGCUCACAUUUACUUUACGGCCAAAAUAAGUUAUAAAAACUGAAAACAUCGAGAAAUAAGUUACUAUCUACCAAUUUAUUAUAAUCUAAAUUUUCUUAUAUGGUUGAGAGUCUUGGAGUAUUGAACAUGUUAUUCCAAGGAGGAAUAUACCAGCAGAUGCUAUCGCACAAAGUGUCACGUGCGUUUCAGUCACAAUAUCAUUCAAAAUUGUCAUUAAUAUAUUGGAAACUAGAACUGAGCCUACCAUUUUUAUUGUUUACUAGAUUGUCCAGUUCAAAAUUUGAAAACUAUAUUAAUAAAUUAGGAGAAAAGCAUUUUACAUUAAAUAGGAUAAGAAUAUUAGGCCGUAAGAAAAAAAAAAAAAUAUAUAUAUAUAUAUAUAUAUGUAUAUUUGUUAGAUUGUAGAAUAUUCUUAAUGGAAAUAAAAAUAUGAAAAUAAUGUUUUUGGAUCAUAAUGUUGGACUGAAUAUAUUCAAAACAACUUAACAGAUGCAUUAAUACUUAAUACUGUAAUCAAAAAAUAAAAAGUCAAAGUUUAAGUUAGAAAGUAUAUAAAAUGGUAUAUUUAAUAGAAAUGUAAUACCAUGAUUGGUACUUAGAAAAGGUAGCAAUUGCAAAACAAAAUAAUAUUUUUCUUUUUCUGCACAAAAUAAUAUAUAAUAAUAAAAAUUAAUUAAAUUGUGCAUAUAUAUUAAGAAUAUUUUGAUUCUCUUUUUACACUUAGAUUUAAUCUUUUUUUUUGAAACCAAACUUAGCUUUAAUCAAGAAUUAUAUUUAACUAUAAUUAGAUUUUAAUAUAUUGUUUUAUGUUUAUAGUUUAACAUAUAAUAUGGUUAUAAACUUACUCAGACAAGUAAACUAAUAUAUUAAUUUCAAAUAUUUAGUUUUAUUAUCUAUUAAAUCGCUCUUUUCAAUUCACAAAAAAAUAGUGACAGACAAGUAAAUAUACAAUCUAUAUAUUUACAUCAUAUUCCAUUUGGGUGAGAGGUUUGUAUUCCUAUAGAAGGAUACCGCUUUUUUUUUUUUUUUUUUGUCGUCAACUUUACAGACUCAUAUAGACUCUGUAAACCAAGCCGGAAGAUAUUGAUCCAUGUGAACGACGAAAGACGGCUGAAUCCUAACACUGCGUGCUAGGCUAUCCGCCUUUGUAUUCUGCGCUCUUGGUACAUGGACGAUCUCUGAUUGUAGGAAACUUGCUCUCAGACUUUUGAUGUCUUCCAAAUAACUUGCAAACGCUGGCCACUCUUCUGGUUCCGAAACCAUCUUCACCAAUUGAGAACAAUCCGUUGCAAACGUAACCUGAGAUUGACGUAAAUUCCUCAUACAUUCCAUAGCCCAUAGUAGUGCUUCCAUCUCCGCAUGUAGAGGAGAAAGGCUAGCCCGAACAUUCCUCGCCCCCAGCAACCCAGCGAAGCCUUCUAAAGUGCUGUGCCAACCCUGGCCGGAGAAAGUAUCUUUCUCUUUCCAGGAACCAUCUGUGAAACACCAUCGUCCUGGAUUUAACAGUGAAGACCUAAUCUCUUCCUGUGGGACCAUUCUCUGUUCAUUCACUAGUUGGGCUUCAGCCCAAAGGGUUGAUUCUGUUUCCGCCAAUUUGAGCGUAUCCCUAGGAUCAAUAUCCAGAUUACUAAAAACCUUACUAUUCCUUCCUUUCCAGAUAUACCAUAGUAUCCAUGCGAACUGAUGAUCAUCUAACUGCGGAAAGACUCUCCAGAAAAGAUGAUCCAUAUUUGCAAAAAGGGAUUGUGUGGGAAAUGUAGUUGGAUUUGAUGGUAUCUUUGAGAGAGCCCAAACCUGAAGUGCUGGAGGACAUUCGAAAAACACAUGAUUUAUCGAUUCCUCCUCAGCUCCGCAUCUUGUACAACAUAUAUCGCCAGUUAUCCCUCUCGCUUGUAAAUUUUUCUUAACCGCUAUACACCCUGUCACCAACUGCCAGAGAAAAUGUUUAAGCUUUGGUGGACACCUGACUUUCCAGCAGAAUGAUUUCAAACCAUCGACCGUAGGUCCAAAAAAUGCUGGUGGUUUUGCUCUAUCCGGGUAAACUCGUUCUACCUGAUAUCCCGAUUUAACCGUGUAUUUCCCAGUUGUUGUGAAAUGCCAUCCAUCUUUGUCCUCCAACUGAUAUCUACUCAGUCGUAUACUCUCGAUAAUUUUCACAUCCUGUGGAUCCACUAGAGCCUGAAGUGCCUGCGAGUUCCAAAUUCCCAAAGUGGGGUCUAUAAGAGAAGCCACUGUGAGGUCAGGGUAAAGAUUGUGUUGGUUUUUAUUUGCUGGUCUCGGGCGAGUGGUUGGGAGCCAAGGAUCAUUCCAUACAGAGAUAGAAGAUCCUGAUCCCACCCGUUUGAUUAGUCCUUUGCUAACCAGAGAUCUAGCUGAUGUAAUACUCCGCCAUCCAUAUGACGGAGAGUAUGAGCGAAUCGGUUCCAGGGGUGAGGCAUUCCUGAAAUAUCGACCUUUAAAAACUCGAGAAAAUAAAGUAUUUGGCUUCUCGAUCAAUCGCCAAAACUGUUUACCAAGCAUCGCUGUAUUGAAAUCAGUGAUGUCUUUAAAACCCAGUCCUCCUUCCUCCUUGCUAACACAUACUUUAUCCCAAGAUUUCCAAUGCAUACCUCUCGUACUUCCCCCGGGGCUCCACCAAAAUUGGGCUACCGCACCUGUCAGUUUCUUUACGGUUGCCUUAGGCAAUCGAUAGCAAGACAUCACAUGAUUUGGUAAUGCCGUAAUCACCGAUUUAAUAAUCACCUCUUUUCCUCCUUUUGUAAAGAACUUAAAAGUCCAACCAUUAACCCGUUUGUUUAGUCUAUCCUGCACAAAACUAAAAACCUGAACCUUUGAACCCCCAAGAUUUUCUGGUAAUCCUAGAUAAGUUCCCAUUCCUCCAUGAUUCUGAAUGCCCAGGAUGUCUCUCAUUUCCUGUCUGUUGGACUCUUCAAUUUUAUGUCCAAAUUGGAUCGAAGACUUCUCAAAAUUAAUGAGUUGACCUGACACCAUCUCAUAUUCCUUUAAGAUUCUGAGAAUAGUUUGACAUUCCUCUCUCUGGGCUUUGCAAAAGAAAAGACUAUCAUCCGCAAACAGUAGAUGUGAAAUGGAAGGACAUGCUCGAGCUACCUUCAUUCCUGUCAAUUGUUUCCCAUCCUCCGCCUUUUUAAUAUUUGCAAUCAAAGCCUCAGUGCACAAAAUAAAUAAAUAAGGAGAUAACGGAUCUCCUUGCCGUAACCCUCUAUUCGGAAUAAUAAGGCCUCUUGGUUGUCCAUUUAGUAAAACCCGAUAUUGAACCGAUGAUAUGCAUUCCAUCAUUAAUUUAAUCCAAUGAAGAUCAAAACCCAUCUUCUCUAGUAAAGCUUUAAUAAAGUCCCAUUCCACUCUAUCAUACGCUUUGCUCAUAUCCGUUUUAAUUUAUAGAAGGAUACCGCUAAAAAAAUUGAAACAUGUUAAAAUAUUUAAUUUUGUUGAAACAAGUAAUUCUAAACAAUAAAAAAUAUUGCAAUAAAAUAAUAAUAUAGAUUGAAAAAUAUAUCUAAAGCAUUAAUAAAAUUUAUAAGAACAAUAAUUCAGUCUUUAAUAAUUUUAUAAAUAUCAAUCAAUAACAUAUAGUUUUUAAGUCAUAUAAUAUCUUUUUCAAUAUUAUUAGCAUUUGCACUCUAAUAAUUUAAAAUUCAUUUUCUAAUUUAUAUUUUGUAAAAGUCAAUAAAGAUAAAUUGUAUAUAUUCAAAUAGUAUUAUGACAUAUUAAUAAAAACAAGAAAAACAAGAACAUCAAAAUCAUUUGGUACAACAAAUUUAACAAUACAAACUUACUUUCCAAUACAUUUAACAUAUUAUACAAUAUAUGAAAACAAAGUAUUAAAAUUAUUUAUACGUUUAUAGUUAAUAUGAUUCUAUAUGGAUUAAAACUAUUAUAUAUACAUUUUUACGUUUAGUGGUUGAAGAAGUGUUUAUAAUGCUUAUGUUUUAGAUAUAUAUAAUCUAAUUUUCAAACAUAGAGAGCAUAGCCAAUUAUGUUCUUGAAAAACAUCGUCAAUCUCAUGUUCUUGAAUAAAGAAUUCAAUCAAAGAGAACAUAGCCAAUCUUCACCUACUUCUUGAAUUAUGUAAAAGUUUUAGAUCAGUAACCAAACUUAAUUGUUCGAACCUGUCACUUCCGUAAAACAAAACAUAUUAUUUUUCAAACAGAAACAUUUUAUUUUGUUCUAUAACCUCUGAUAGCUUCCAUCAAGAUUAUUUGAGUAUUUCAAAUAGGAAAAAGACUGCAUGAAGUUUUUAGCAAAUGGAGCUGGUGUAUAUAUCAAUUGUAAUAAACAUCAUCGAAUACAAAUGGUGAUGGGGUAGAAUGAUGGUGAGAACUUACCAUAAGAUUAUAUAAGCAAAAAUAUAUUUUUUACAUUUAUACAUUAUAAAAAAAUUAUAUGAUCAUUUAAGUUUAGUUAAAAUAUAUGAAAAAACCCGGGCGUAGCCCGGGAAAAAUCUCUAGUAUAUGGAAAAAGAAGUGUAUAUAUGACAGUAGACAUAUGUUUAGUUAUUAAUAGGACAGUUAUAUUAGGGUUAUAUGAACAGGCGAUUAUAUUAUAAAUUAUAUUAUAAAUUAUCAAUGAAAGUAUGUCAGCCACUAAACACCUCAUAUGUCCACGAUCAAACAAAAAUGCAUCAUAUCUAUACUAUACUAAAAGGGGGAUAUAAGCCAUGGAGAGGGUGUCCACAUAGGAUAGAAAAAUCAACCAAUCAGAGAACCCGAAAUUGCCAUGUCAUCUCAUUUUUUACUAUACUAAAAGGGGGAUAUAAGCCAUGGAGAGGGUGUCCACAUAGGAUAGAAAAAUCAACCAAUCAGAGAACCCGAAAUUGCCAUGUCAUCUCAUUUUUUUCGUAAAAAAUAAAAAAACAAUGCGAAGGUGAGCAUCGAACCCGGGUUAGUAUGAUAUAUAUAUAGGACAGUUACCACUAAGCCAUUGAAACUUUCUUGGACACAUAUACAAGAACCACUAAGUAUAUAAUCACAAACUCUUAUGUACAUUUACAAUAAUAUGAAUUCAACUUUCAAGACUCCGAUACUUUAUUUUGUAAAAAAAAAAUAAGUAAGUGACUAAGCUAAUAUAUUCUUAGAAAGUGUGAGAACGUUGACAAGUAUGAAAAAGCAUAGAUUUUUGUUUUCGUGACAAAGUUAAGAAUUUUGUAAAAGUAAGUUUAACAUAUAAAUUUUCGUGACAAAUAUGAAAAAACAUAGAUUUUUGUAAAAUUUUGACAAAACAACUCAUAACAUACUUCUCUAAUGUCUUAAUAAAAUAUUAUUUAAGGGUGCAAUAAUUAAAUAUAUUAAUUCAAUAAAUUUUGUAAUUUAUAGACAAAACAAUAACACAACAAAUUUUGAAACAUUUGUUUAACCUAUCGAUUUUUUUUCAUGAGAAUCCAACUAAACAAGAUAAAAAAAAUAAUUAGAUUUACAAAUAUUUAAUUACCAUUUUAUUCAAUUUUGAUUAAUUUCAAAUUAUCAUAAUGUAUCUUUUUGAAGUUACAAAUAUGAAAAAGCAUAGAUUUUUGUACAAUUUGACAAAACAACUCAAAACAUAAUUUUUCUAAUGUCUUAAUAAAAUAUUAUUUAAGGAUGCAAUAAUUAAAUAUAUUAAUUCAAUAAAUUUUAUAAUUUAUAGACAAAACAAUACCACAACAAAUUUUGAAACAUUUGUUUAACCAAUCGAUUUUUUUUUCAUGAGAAUCCAACUAAACAAUUAGAUUUACAAAUAUUUAAUUACCAUUUUCUUCAAUUUUGAUUCAUUUUAAAUUGUAAUAAUGUAUCUUUUUGAAGUUACAAAAAAAUAAUGUUCUUUCUUUAUUACACUAGAAUUAUAUAUAGAUUCUAUAUACACAAAAUAAAUAUAAUAUAACAACAUAAAUUUACUUUCCCCGAUUCAUAUGAAAACUUUUUAAGUUAUCCACCAAAGCAAAUUAAUUAAAUCAAUGAAAUUGUUAAAAUACAGCAAAUUAAUAUAUAAUUUUAUUUUAAAUUAAAUUAUUUAAAAAGUGUAUUUUUGUUAAAACAAAAUAAUAAAUAAGUAAAACUGAUUUGAUGGUAAUUUUUAUGAUAUAUAUAUAUAUAUAAAUUCUGUGAAAGAAAUAGAAGCUUAAUAUGGAAAAAAAUCUUAAAUACAAAAACCUCUAAAAAUUAACAAAAAAACUAAUAAAUUAAACUAUGAUAUCACUUAAAAGCUUCUUAGACCAUAUUAAUAAAAUAUUUAAGCGAUAAUUAGACAAAUUUGAUUUUUUUUCCAGCAAAAAAUUUAUUAUUAAUUAGCAUCAGUUAUUUCAAGAUGUUUAAGAAAUGGUGUACAAAAAAAUAGGAUGGACAUUAAUGAUAUAUGAACUAUGAAUAGUACUUUGCGAAGCAGACUUUGAUAACAUAUAUGCAUAUACAUUUUCAGUCCUUUUUGAUGCCUAAAUUCAAUUUCUUCAGAGUAAUUAUUCCACAAAUAGAUCGUAUGAGAUAUUGUUUUGAUAUGUAGAUUUGUUUUUUCAAUGUUAAGAAGAUUGAUAACUGUAAAAAUGUCUCAUUCGUAUAUGAUAUGUCUAUAACCGAGUCUCCAACAUGAGACAAGUUUGUUUAAAAAGUAAAUAAUUUUAUUUUUCUUAUAUUAUAUAAUAAAUAUAUAUUAUUUACUGAUAAUAAAAAUAUAAUUAUUCAUCUAUCACAAAUAUCUAUGCAAAUAUGUGAAUCAAGUACAACAAUCAAGCAACAUAAUGAUUUCCACAAAGAAAAUUUAAAAAAUAUAUUUAUGUUAUGUAGUCAUAUUUUAUAUUUUUUAAAUAAUAUAAUACAAUAUUAUACAUUAUUUUUUAGAAUUGAGAAAUACAUAUAAUAUCUUAUCCGCGCGUAGCGCGGUUAAAAAAUCUAGUUGUAUGUAAUAGGAGAAAACGGUUAAUUAGGAAGAAACGGUUACGUAAAAAUGAUAUAUAUAUAUUUUGUUUAUCUUUAAAUAAAGAAAAUAAAUAAGUGGACAUAACCUUACAUCAAUUGGUCAUGUUGCUGUUUUAAUAGAAUAGAUUUUCGUUUAAAGUACUUUUGAAUUUUUUUCGCUUCAGUUUUUCAAUAACACGUGUGUCUUAUUUACAAAAGGAAACAAUUUCACUGAAAUUAUAUGAUGAUGUAAUUAUUAUUUAGUGUCAAAAAAAUAGCUGAAAAGAUAUAUACUAAAAUUUUAGAUAAGUUAAAAAUAUCAAUAACGACAAAAUUGUGUUCCUCUCCUUAAAUCGCUCUGGUGUUCCUAUAAGUAGUUCAGAUUCUUUGUCAACACAAUUCAAUCUAGCAAAAAUUUAUCUAAAAACAAAAAUCCUAAUCAAUAGUACAAUAAUCAUUUAAAUAUUAAUAGAGAGUAGAAGAAAAAAUCGUGCAAACUAAAAUGGAAAAAGUAAAUUUCUUUGCAAUAAUCUUUAUGGUGUUGUUGGUCGUGACAAGGGUUUCUGCGGAAGAGCCACCGGUGAAAGUGACGGCCAAUGAGGUGACUCUUGCGGCGGAGGCGGCAGCAUCGAGUUUCAAAAGCAGCGCCGGAGAGGCUGCUCAAGGGGCCAGAACAUGGGCCGAUUGGGCUACGAGCAAAUUCAGGUAACAUUCGUCUUAUUUCCUUUUUCUGUUAUUCUUUAACGUUAAAAAUUUUGGGAGAAAAACCAAUUAUCAAUUAAGUUUUUGGUAGUAUUAUCUUCAGACGUUGUUAAAUUACAAUCUUUCCGACUUCGUUUAUGAUUUCAAAAUUCGUCUCGUUAACACAAAGAUUUAAAGAACAUGGGUCAAUCAGUGCACCAUUCGUUACCAUUUAGCGUUUAUCAUUAACCAUAUUUAUCUUCUGUUUUUGUAAGGAAUGCUGGCGUAAAUUUUGAAAAAGCACCCGAUUCAGAGUGAAACGUAUGGAAGUCUCAAGUAAACAUCUACCUUUAAGAAUAUGCAUAAAUGUUUAUCAAGAAAAAUAUGUAAAUUGAGCAAGCAACAAUAUAGUUGCAUUCUCUUGUAUCUUAUUGUAUAAGAAAACUUUCCAUUAAAGCUAACACGUAAUUAUCAAUAAAAUUUGAUAAUAUUAUGUAAAACCAAUACAAAACUUAAAACUCAUGGUUUGAUUCAUAGAUGUAGUUUAUGUUUCUAGAGAACACUAAGACUCAUGGACCUCUCUGACUUGACACGGAAGACAUGUUUAUUGCAAAAAAAAGAGAGACCAAAUCCUUUCUCCUCAGGUGAACAAUAUGUCCAAAGUUUCUUCUUCUUCUAAAUGCCAGCAACUUAUAAAUAUGGAAUACCCAAAAAAGCACAGGGAGACAAACUUAGAAAUCAAUAAGAUAAUUAUAACUACCAUUUGACCCAUCAGUCUAUGGAUAGAACAAGAUCCAUAUGCCACAUCACUUUCUUCCGCGGGUUAGCCUCUGCAAAUGGUAAUUGAUGUUUCCCCACGACUUGGACUUCUCCGCCUACAAAGCAAAAGAGUUUCAAGUAAACAAAAAGUUCACCGGCAAAGGCAGAAGAAGACAAAAGUAAACACGCAAAAAAAAGUUAUUUACAUGUCCGUUCAUACAAACGCUCAGGAGGUUCUUCUGUUUCUCGCAGUUAUCAUCUUUGCAUUUGUUGAGAGCCAUGCAGUUGAGGAACGUCACCAUCUCCUUCAUACAUGGUUUCGCUAUACCACCGAGCUUUUUCGGGUUUAUGUACAAAUUUCCAGCCUUUCUCCCCAUGGCUCACUCAAGUAUAAAGAAACACCAACUGAGGAACCACAAGCCAGAAAAAAAAAAACAGGAAUCAAUACUAACUCACAAACAUUCCGACAAACCUUCCUUCAACUGAACUUAUCCUAAAAUACUCACUUUUUUAUACCACUGAGAAAAGUUCUAAUCACAUUUAUGAGAUUAAGAACAUUGUAAGCAUCUAAAUUACAUAAAUGAAUAAUACUGUAUCGCCCUUGUGAUUCAACCAAUGCAGAUUUAAUAUACAAACCCAAGGACCCUAAGCUAGAAAUCAAAUAAAAAUAACUUGGAUUCGAGUAGCAUCUAGAAACGGUGUCAGAUCCGAGAGGUAGAACGAAACCAAAAAUCGAAAGCAGCAGGGCAUGAAAUUAGAUUGAAUCGACGACACAUUUUGAGAGAGGAUUGGAGCCGAAACAACUUACAGUGUUGGUAGAAGCGGAAUAAAGGAUUGAUUUCUGAGGGAUACGCUGGAGAAAUGGCGAAGGAUCGCAGGUGAGGAAAAGAUGCUGAGAAAGAAAAAAAAAAGUAGAAAACCCUAUGGUUAUUUCAGGUAGCCCAUGGACUCUUUCCCACCAUGACCCGGCCCAGUGAUGACUUUACCCAUUGAAUAGCGGAUACUUGAACCGAACCAAAAUUUAAUUUAUUUGGUAAAGCAGUUAUCUUGUGGAUCGUGCCGCUGUCUAUGUCCAUUUGUUUCUACUUUAUAGGGGUGGGCGUUCGGGUACCCGUUCGGGUUCGGAUCGGGUAUUUCGGAUUUUCGGGUAUUUCGGUAUAGAGGUGUAGAACCCGUUCGGGUAUUUCUGUACUUCGGGUCGGGUUCGAGUAUUUUAAGUUCGGUUUCGGUUAUUUCGGAUCGGGUUCGGAUAUUUAGAUUUUGAAGAAAAAAAAAUGAAAAUUUUCAUUUCUCAAAUUUCUUGUAUUUAAAUAUAUAAUUUUUCACUUAACUAUUUUUUUAUUUUUAAUAGAUUGCAUGGUUAAUAGAUUUGGACAUAACAUUUUCAAACUAAAAAGACAUUAAUUUGGUUAUUGUUUUUAAAUUUUGGAUGUAACUUUUUGUUAAUUGCUGAAAUAAAUAGUUUGACAUGCAUUUUAAGCGAAUAGCAAAUCAUCUUCUACGUAAUUGUAUGUAUAUCAUAUGAAUUUAAAGUAUGUGUAGUAUCAAUAUAAAUAUUUUAUAUAAAAUGAAAGAUGUAAACUAUAAAUAUAAGGUUAAUUAUCAUAUGUUCGGUUAUUUUCGGAUAUCCAUUCGGGUUCGGAUAUUACCCGUUCGGGUUCGGAUAUCCAAUCUCUCCUAAUUCAAUACCCGUUCGGAUAUUUUGCUACUUCGGUUCGGAUUUCGGUUCGGGUUUUUCGGAUCGGGUUCGGGUGCCACUUCGGAUUUCGGGUAAAAUGCCUACUACUUUAUGUUUUUUUUCUUUUUUUUCCGUAAACUCAUUCUCUAAACAUUAUUUAAAUUUUGAUUUACAUAUGUCAUGGUUCAUUUUAACAAAAAUUGACAAGGCUUCAAUUUAACUGGUACACGUAUAAUUCUAUUUUUUAAUAAAAUUUAUAUUUUUGACAAAAAAGUUUUAAAUAUGAUAAUGAGUUUGACUGAUAUAUCACCAUUAAAGUAUCAUUUCUUAACAAAUAAUUAUUUUUGACAAAAAAAUUAAAUAUAUUAAUAAAUAAUAAUUCAUAUAUCUUCAUUGAAACUAUAUAUAUCACAUUAAUUACAAACAAACUAAUUAUAAAUAUAAUUUUGAGUAACUUUUUUUUAAAGAAGAGUUUAUACUCUAAGAUUUUUUUCAAGAGAUAAUUGGGUCAAUAUACUCCAAUCGCUAGAAAAUUAAAAAAGUACCCAAAAACAAAAAGAACUUGUUGGGCCCGUACCUUUUUGCGUCCCCCUUUCCAAAAAUGCCCUUAUCGCCUCGAGACGUGCGGCGAGUAGGUGAAAAGUUGCGAGUCAGCGUGAUCUUCAGAAGUGCAAACAAAAGAUACUAUUCUGAUAUAGCUUUCCGGCUGACAUCUUUUCGAGCGACCGGUUUCUUUAGGUUACUCUGUCAAGUACAAACGGAUCGAAACAAAAGCCCCUGGAAACAUCUGUGGAUCGUAAAAAUGGGGGGGGGGGGGAAUUACAGGUUAUCCGAAUUUUUUUUGGGAUUUUGGUAGUGUAUUUAAUGGAGGUCUGGGAAAACAUAAAUGUAAAGCAUAAUCGAUAGAGAGAGAAAGAAACAUGUUAGAGUGAGAUUGCUCUAGUGGCGAAGAUCCUUUUACAGUAGUCGUUAUCCCUUUGUGUUCGAGGUAUGUCUCUAAUAUUUUUUAGAUUUUACUUUCUGCAUUAAAUUUCUUAACUGCAAACAAGUUUGAUACUACGAAAUAGGUGUUUUGGUCCAUUGACAUUUAUUUUGACUGUCAUAACUAUCACAGUAUUUUAAUUCCAGUGACAAGCAUCUCAAAUGUCACAUUCCCCACGGAUAUUUCAGAAAAAAUUUCCUACUUGCGUAUCAUCUCCACAUGCUCAGGGAUAAUCCGAGGAAAGUGUGAUGUCGGGAUUAAAACACAAGAGGUAAAAGUCAGACACACAUACUUCAAACGCAUCUCUCUGUCUUUUAUUUUCUUCUUCUGUAGCAUUUCGAUGGUCGUGUCGACUAAGCAGAACUUGAGAGAUCCAAUUAGUUCCCUCCAGUCAAGCUUUUCCUUAAUGGGGUGCUUCUUCCGUUUGCAGUUUAUCUUCGGAAUCUUGCUGCAAUUGAGGCUGGUGACUUGUGCGAACUCGUGCAUUGACAUCCUGAGCGGCUUUCAGAGAAGAGAAACCAAGUCUUGUACUUUUUUCACGUGGAGGAUUCGGACAAUCACGAACUGGCCGAACCUUCCUGAAAAUGAAGGAUUAUCUGCUAGUGAAAUGAUCUUCCCAAACAUCGUCUGCUGCAGGAAGUGAACCUCUUCUGGCUCGAGCGCAUCUAAUAUAGAUUCAAUUCUCUUCAGUUUGUGGUAAGUGUUUACUCUAUCUCCGGAUGGUUCUUCACCAGCUACAAACAUCCGUUCAUGCAGUAUUGCUUGCUCCAUAGUGUCGCUCGGAGAUAAAGAAAGCGUCUUGUUUCUCUAAAGAAAUAAAAGUAGGUCUGGAGAAAUGAAGAUGCAAAAAUUGGAAAAGAGUGCUAUUUCAAAAGGAUCCCUUACACGUAAAUGUAAAAGCUGACUUUUCAUUUACCCUUUUCGUCAUUAAAGUAAAAAUAUUAGAAAUAAUCUAGAGAAGCCUCGAAACCUUAAGUGACAUGCCGUGUAAUAGUGUGUUCUACUAAUAGGGUCUGACACCAAGGCGGUGAAGACUAAAAGAUAAGCGUGUUAGGAUGUAGGGGCGAAAUGGUAUUAAAAUAAAAUAGAUCAAUAGGGUGGCAUUUGGCAAAUUUCGAAUAUUUCCGUAUACAUACAUCAUAAUUUCUCUUUUUCAAACGGGUUCUCAUUUCUAAGAGGAAAAGAAAAGGAUUAUUUUUAUGAUGUACUAGAUAUAUAUAUAUAGAUAUGGUUCUGUAAGUUGCACAUCUGUUAUUUGUUAUAUUAGUUUUAAAAAUUACUAUCAAAUAGAUUUUAAAAUUUUAUUUUUAUUAGGAUUUUAUAAAAUAAAAAUAUUAAAAAAAUCUUUUUGUUUAGGAUUUAAAAAAAUGGAAAAUUACUAUCAAAUUUUCUUUUACAGUUUUUAAGGGAUUUUAGAAAAGUAAAUUACUAUCACAUAAUCUUUUGCAAUUAUAUUUUUUUAGAAUUUUAGAAAAAAAAUUACUAUCAAAUACUUAUUUCCAAUUAAUAUUAAAUAAUUUUACAAUUUUACAAUUUGAUAAUUUAUUUUUGUUAAUAUCAAGAUUAUUUUAGGCUAUACUUUUAAAAAAAAAUAUCAUUUCUCUUUUAGUUAGGAUUUAAAAGGGAAAAUUUCUAAUUUUUUUAAGAUUUUAAAGCAGAAAAUUAUUAUCAUAUAAUUGUAUGUUAUUAUUGUCACAUGUAACAAUUUUUUAUUAAUAUAUCUCACGAUCAUGUUAAUUAAAAAGCUUAGAAAAACAAAAUUUUGAUUAUCCUCGAUAAAAGAAAAUCCGUGAGAUCUAAGAGGCUAAAUUUUUUUUUUUUUUUUUUUUCUAAGAGGCUAAAUUACAUAAGACUAAUCUGAGACACACGUAAUAGAAUGUUGACUGAAGAAUGAUCUUGACUUGGGAUCAUAGAAAAUUAAACAGAGGCUAAAUUACUUAUUUUCACAUACGUAAACAACUUUCAAACUUUACGUUUCAAAUUUACACUACGUCAUUACCUAUGGUUUGAUCUGAAACAAAUUCAAACUAUUAAAAAAAAAAAUAGGAAGCCGAAAGAGAAAGAAAAAGAUAACAAUUAGAAUUCUUCCAGAGGAGACCGGAGAAAAACUAGAAGCCUAUUGAAAGACGAUAAAAGAAUCGGGUUGUGUGAAAUUAAAUUGACAUUAUGCCCUAUCACCAUUUACGAUCAAUCGAAAUUCAAUAGUUCUUAUCCAAGCCGUAUUUAAUGAUAUACUCCUUUCAUUCCAUGAAUAUAAUAGUUUUGAGAUUUUUAUUUGUUUCACAAAUAUAAUACUCUCUGUGUUCCUAAAAAUUAAUGUUUUCGAAUUUUCAUACUUUUUAAUGUAUUGUUUUUUGUAAUUUUAUAUUUUUUAUAUUUUUAAAUCAAUAAAUUUAAAAAAUGCAAUUGAUGUUUUUGAAUUUCACAAUUUUCAUUAUUAAUUAACAAAAAUUACAUUGUAAAUAUAAAUAUGUAUUUUUUUGAAAUAAUUUUUUUUCUAGAAUAUAAAUUUUUAGGAACGGAAUGAGUAGUUUAAUGUGUGUUUAAUAUAAUUCAAUAGCUUCGCCUUCCACACACCUUACAACAUGUUUUGUUGUUCUUCAGUCUACAUUUGGUCCAUUGGAUGUAUAUUUUUUUAAAUGUUCUUAAUACUAUUUCCUUGUUACAAACAUAUGAUGAUUCAUCUUUUCAUUGAUUCUAUCAUGUCUUUUUGGACACGAUCUUCCCAUCCUCAAAUCAUAAUUUCUUUAUUUUGAAUUUCCAUAGCUAACACGUGAGAUAUAUAUAUGCUUUACUUGUUUGAGAAGAAAUCAAUAAAAGGUUGAUGUCUAAGAUAAGCAUACUAUGCAUACAGUGGUGCUAGAAUGUUCGAGCCACAAUCCCAUUUUGAGAAGAGUAACCAGAUUUUCUCUCUAGGUACCAAAUACCAAUAAACAUAGAUAGAUUUGAAAAAAAUAAGAAGCAAUUAACAUAAUAUUUUUUUUGUCGGCACAAUGGCAUUAUCAUCUUCACGUAUAUAACAAUCCAAACUAUUCUUUAAAUGUGCCUCUGUAGAAAAUUGAACUUAUUUCAGACCGAAGAAUUCAGCUUUGUCCACUUCCGGAAAAUUGUCAUAAGUAAGAGAGAUGAGGAUUGGCUAAAUAACCCACAUAUCAAACCAAUCCACAAACCCUGUUUUCACCAAAAUAAUAGCUCCAAAAUAAACACAAAACCAUAAAUUUUUCUUUAUCAUCAAUCAAUUCAUAAGAGAGUAAUGCAGUUACCUUGGCAUAUAACUUCAACUUGAAACCACAGAAGGCUGCAAUAGGCAUUCCAAUGAAGUAGAAUGUUCCUAGAUUUACAACCGUGACUACCCUUUGCCAUCCGCAUCCUCUGGCCACUCCUGUAAGCAAUAAAAAGGGAGGUUUCUUUUUGCCUUCGAUUCAUCGAGAAAGAAAGAGGCUUUCUUGGAUCUUUUAUUGGGCCCUCUUUUAUUACCUGAUAGAACACCUUGGAUCGAAUCAAGAGUUAUAGAGGCAGCAAGGAAGAAUCUCAAUGAUGCAAACUCAUCUUUAAUUAAAGGACUAUUGCUGAAUAACCCAACCCAACCAUCAUGACCUACAAAUAAAGUAACCACUACGCCAAGAGCAAGAACUAACGACAACUUGGUGGAAACAGAAGUCGCCUUCUUUGCACCUUUUACAUUUCCUGCUCCAAGUUCGUUCGACACACGAGUACUGCAGCAUUUUUAAGUUUUACAUUUUCGAAACAAUAUAUUAAUGAGAGGAAAAUACAUAAUUUUCAUGACUCAUGAGAUUACUAACCUUGCAGCUGCGCUAAGUCCAUAUGUUAACAUGUAGCUAAUUGCUUCCGUGUUGACGCUGAAUUAAUUUAAUAUUUACGCAGCAAUAUGCUACUUUUGUUAGAGUGAAACAGAAAAUUAAUAAACUAAAUAGUAAUAUAAAACUUACCAUAUAGCUACCAGAGAGGUGGCUAUUUCCGGGUUCGGCAUCAGUCCUGCCAAGACCACAAGGAUCUCGAACGCCCAAUAUUCCAAGCUGUUGCAAUAACAUAGUCUCUUUAGAUUUAAGAAGCAUAUAUAUGGAAUUAUAAGCAGAUGACAAUAAUUAUUGAUCCGACCUACCACACCAUAGCAGCAGAAGGGAGACUUAAUGUCAAGUUUGUUACUACAUAACGGAUUGAUUCCAGUGAAAAUCCGGUCCAUGUAUCCUUAAACUUGUCGGAACAGAUCACAUAAGUCCCAAGAGAAAGGAAAGCUAUCCACAAUGAAAUAGAUGUAGCUAUUGGAGCACCAAUGAACCCAAGGCUAGUUAAAUAAACCAGAACAUAGGAUAUGCCGAUAUUAAUCACCAAGGGAACAAAUGAGAAGACAACUAAUGGAGUAACGAUUGAUUGUGUUUGGCAAAAUCUCAGUAUGUUUUGUAAGAAUCCGUAAGCGAGUAACCCGGGAGCUUGGUAUUUCAUAUAUAUUGCAGCUUGUUUUGAGAUGUUAGGAUCUUGUCUGAUAAGUCCGAAAACUGAUUCUGUGAAGAACCACAAGAUGGAGAUGAAGAUGGUGAAGACUAAUGAGACUAUGCAAGAUGAUUGUAGAUGAAUCCCUAACAUUCUGUAGCUUUUUGCACCAAAGCCUUGUCCACAUAAUGUCUCCAGUGCUCCACUUAAACCAACCUGAAAAAUAAAGGACAUUAACUUCUAUUUUAAACAAUCCACAUGUAUUAAAUCACCAUUAGUGAUUUCUUUCGUACAAAAUCCUCCACAUGUCACUUUAAAC